RNAcentral lists this ribosomal RNA (452 nucleotides) under uncultured bacterium. RNAcentral's name for it is "bacterial SSU rRNA". It matches the Rfam family "Bacterial small subunit ribosomal RNA", at positions 340 to 786 of the family's 1533-position model. The record is from RNAcentral.
UACGGGAGGCAGCAGUGGGGAAUAUUGCACAAUGGGCGCAAGCCUGAUGCAGCCAUGCCGCGCGUAUGAAGAAGGCCUUCGGGUUGUAAAGUACUUUCAGUCGUGAGGAAGGUGUUAAGGUUAAUAACCUUAGCAAUUGACGUUAGCGACAGAAGAAGCACCGGCUAACUCCGUGCCAGCAGCCGCGGUAAUACGGAGGGUGCGAGCGUUAAUCGGAAUUACUGGGCGUAAAGGGCACGCAGGCGGUUAAUUAAGUUGGAUGUGAAAUCCCCGGGCUUAACCUGGGAAUGGCAUUCAAGACUGGUUAGCUAGAGUCUUGUAGAGGGGGUAGAAUUCCAUGUGUAGCGGUGAAAUGCGUAGAGAUGUGGAGGAAUACCGGUGGCGAAGGCGGCCCCUGGACAAAGACUGACGCUCAUGUGCGAAAGCGUGGGGAGCAAACAGGAUUAGAUACC